Molecule: ribosomal RNA, 253 nt
Filed under: uncultured bacterium
Lineage: Bacteria
Description: partial 16S ribosomal RNA
Rfam family: Bacterial small subunit ribosomal RNA
Source: RNAcentral
UACGGAGGAUGCAAGCGUUAUCCGGAUUUAUUGGGUUUAAAGGGUGCGCAGGCGGAAAAUUAAGUCAGUGGUGAAAUCCUGCAGCUCAACUGUAGAACUGUCAUUGAUACUGAUUUUCUUGAAUAUGGUUGAGGUUGGCGGAAUAUGUAAUGUAGCGGUGAAAUGCUUAGAUAUUACAUAGAACACCGAUUGCGAAGGCAGCUAACUAAGCCAUGAUUGACGCUGAGGCACGAAAGCGUGGGGAGCGAACAGG